RNAcentral lists this ribosomal RNA (465 nucleotides) under uncultured bacterium. Its description in RNAcentral is "partial 16S ribosomal RNA". It matches the Rfam family "Bacterial small subunit ribosomal RNA", at positions 338 to 795 of the family's 1533-position model. The record is from RNAcentral.
UCUACGGGCGGCUGCAGUGGGGAAUAUUGCGCAAUGGGCGAAAGCCUGACGCAGCGACGCCGCGUGAGGGAUGAAGGUCUUCGGAUCGUAAACCUCUGUCAGCAGGGAAGAACGGUCACUGUGCUAAUCAGCAGUGAAUCGACGGUACCUGCAAAGGAAGCACCGGCUAACGCCGUGCCAGCAGCCGCGGUAAUACGGGGGGUGCGAGCGUUAAUCGGAAUUACCGGGCGUAAAGCGCUCGUAGGCGGUAUGUCAAGUCAAGGGUGAAAUCCCCGAGCUCAACGUGGGAACUGCCUUUGAAACUGGAUAACUGGAGUGUGUGAGAGGAUAGUGGAAUUCCAGGGGUAGGAGUGAAAUGCGUAGAUAUCUGGAGGAACAUCAGUGGCGAAGGCGACUAUCUGGCACAUAACUGACGCUGAGGAGCGAAAGCGUGGGUAGCAAACAGGAUUAGAUACCCCAGUAGUC